Molecule: ribosomal RNA, 226 nt
Filed under: uncultured bacterium
Lineage: Bacteria
Description: partial 16S ribosomal RNA
Rfam family: Bacterial small subunit ribosomal RNA
Source: RNAcentral
GCGUUGUCCGGAUUUAUUGGGCGUAAAGAGCUCGUAGGCGGCUUGGUAAGUCGGAUGUGAAACCCCCAGGCUCAACCUGGGAUCGCCAUCUGAUACUGCCAUGGCUAGAGUCCGGUAGGGGCCCACGGAAUUCCUGGUGUAGCGGUGAAAUGCGCAGAUAUCAGGAGGAACACCAGUGGCGAAGGCGGUGGGCUGGGCCGGAACUGACGCUGAGGAGCGAAAGCGU